AUAAUUUCUCCAAAAUAAUGAUGGCCAAAUCACGCCUAAGCUACCAGUGAAUUGCCGUCUUAAAUCAGAUGCGCAAACACCCCCCACCUCCCCCCUGCCCCGGAUGCGCUGACGCAAAGCUUUUAACUUUUGUCCGCAAGUGGGAUAAGACGCCAUAUUUUUUGCAAUCCCUUUAAUAUCAAGAGAUCGACCGCCGAUGGCGGUUGCCGGAGCGGGUUUCCUGGAACCGGUGCUGCUAUUCGUGGUGGUGCUCCUGGCUGUGCACGUCUUCGGUCUGGUUUACUUCUUGUUCAAAUUAGGCACGCAGAAGCCUCCAGAUCGUAGGAAGAUACAUUAGGGUUUAGAUGGUGAGUUCGAUAACUAAAUCCCCCUUUUUUCUUUCAUCGAAUUAGCUCUGUAUCAUGAUUUUUACUGAGAAAAGAUGAACAUCUUUUGAGAGGUUGAUGCUAAUUAUGUUGGAGCUAAAAGGUUUCCAGUGUGGAUGAUGAAGAUUUUAAUUACUGUUCUCGAUGUCUUGUUAGCAUUCUUCCUUCAAUCGAGAUUUGUUGCGACAGUUCAGGACCAUUUUUUUAUGGUAAAUGGCUGAUCAUUGGUGCUUCCAUGUUGAUAUAUUAUCUAACUCGUUGAUACAAAAAACUCAUUUGAGAAAGCAGAUUAUAUCUCAGUUUUAUUUGAACUUUGUAUGAUGGUUGUACUAUUGAAUAGAGUUUAAGAUAUGUUGAGUUAGUUUCUAGAUGGUUAAUGAAUGAACAAAAACAAACUUCAUAUAUGAUACUUGUGGUUAAUGGAAUGAUUCACACAAAAGUUAUAUUGUU
Dendrobium catenatum is the source of this 815-nucleotide long non-coding RNA. RefSeq lists it as uncharacterized. The transcript is spliced from 2 exons. NCBI's taxonomy places the organism in Eukaryota, Viridiplantae, Streptophyta, Magnoliopsida, Asparagales, Orchidaceae. The record is from RefSeq and is a predicted model, not a curated record.